ACAACUCUCUCUCAAGUGCAGCUGCACAACAAAGUUAUGACUGGUUUCCAUAUUUAGACUAAAGCAGUGGAAGGGGAAAAAAGAAAACAUUGUCAAACCACUAAGAGAACACCAAAACACAUAAACCACCUUGACAGUACGUGCAGACAACUUUUCUCAAAAUUCCCUUGUGCUUUAAAAUGUAACAUCAUAACCUAAUGAAAACAUGGCCUUCCUCCAACCCAACAAGGAAAAGAAAAUGAAAACCUUCAAUUGUUUUGAUAAAAUUAAUGGCAUUUGCAGCAUAACCUCUUUAUUCCAAAUACAUCUACCAUGAAGAAGCACAUGUAAGAAUCAACUUUAACAGUGGGGUCUAAACUAGCAUGUUAAGAAGUCAAAAUCAUUUUGGAAUGGGAACUUGUAUUAUUAAUUACAGUAUAAGAAUUGACUUUACAUCUUAUAAAUCUUUCAGAUUGUGUCUACAAUAGGUGGUUAUUUGAAAUGAAAAGAUUUCAAUUUGAGUGAGAAUUAUUUGUUUGAUAAAUUCAAUAAUAAAAAUGAGAUUCAUAAAUCAAGAUGAAUACUUCUUUGAGAAUGAAUUUGAAUUACCUUCUAAAAAGAUAAAAUUUCUAUGUAUCCCCCUAAAAUUUGGUUGAAACAUAUUUUGCUUCUCAUCAUUUAUAAUUCCAGGAUUUUAAGAAUGAAAUUUUGAAGUAACAGCUCCAAUUGGAAUUUUCUACCCAAAUGCAACCUGCAACAAUUUUAAGAUAUGUACCUACUGGUAUUCAAAUUACCUGUCAAAGACCUUAUGAGCUCAU
RNAcentral lists this unclassified non-coding RNA (797 nucleotides) under Hevea brasiliensis (rubber tree). Lineage: Eukaryota; Viridiplantae; Streptophyta; Magnoliopsida; Malpighiales; Euphorbiaceae. The record is from RNAcentral.